UUAAGAUUUCUUAAUGUAGUAUAUAAACUAUCCUUAGAAUAUGCCGCUUUUAUCUUCUUUUUGAGAAAUGCUUGCUGAAAUGACCCUCAAAAUGCUCUACUUCAGAUUUUUAAAAAUUAUUUUGGGUUACUUUUAAUUUAAACCAAAGACUUUCUUUAGCUCUUUAGGAGCUUUGCAAAUUUAGAUUAUCAGCCUUUUAUGUGA
RNAcentral lists this long non-coding RNA (204 nucleotides) under Homo sapiens (human). Its description in RNAcentral is "non-protein coding lnc-SLC16A7-11:1". Lineage: Eukaryota; Metazoa; Chordata; Mammalia; Primates; Hominidae. The record is from RNAcentral.